Small nucleolar RNA from Vespa crabro (European hornet), 77 nucleotides. RefSeq annotates it as small nucleolar RNA snR60/Z15/Z230/Z193/J17. The record is from RefSeq and is a predicted model, not a curated record. Lineage: Eukaryota; Metazoa; Arthropoda; Insecta; Hymenoptera; Vespidae. The transcript has a single exon.
UGUAUCUUCAUGAUGAUUUCAUAGUUCAACUGAGACUUAAUGAAGCUCAUGUCUUUCGCUCCUAUCUGAUAUAUAUA